RNAcentral lists this ribosomal RNA (251 nucleotides) under uncultured bacterium. RNAcentral's name for it is "partial 16S ribosomal RNA". It matches the Rfam family "Bacterial small subunit ribosomal RNA", at positions 524 to 776 of the family's 1533-position model. The record is from RNAcentral.
UACGGGGGGGCAAGCGUUGUUCGGAAUUACUGGGCGUAAAGGGCUCGUAGGCGGCCAACUAAGUCGGAUGUGAAAUCCCCAGGCUCAACUUGGGAACUGCAUCCGAUACUGGAUGGCUUGAAUUCGGGAGAGGGAUGCGGAAUUCCAGGUGUAGCGGUGAAAUGCGUAGAUAUCUGGAGGAACACCGGUGGCGAAGGCGGCAUCCUGGACCGAGAUUGACGCUGAUGCGCGAAAGCCAGGGAGCAAACGGG